This 468-nucleotide ribosomal RNA is filed under the name uncultured bacterium. RNAcentral describes it as "partial 16S ribosomal RNA". It matches the Rfam family "Bacterial small subunit ribosomal RNA", at positions 28 to 507 of the family's 1533-position model. The record is from RNAcentral.
GACGAACGCUGGCGGCGUGCUUAACACAUGCAAGUCGAACGGAAAGGCCCUGCUUUUGUGGGGUGCUCGAGUGGCGAACGGGUGAGUAACACGUGAGUAACCUGCCCUUGACUUUGGGAUAACUUCAGGAAACUGGGGCUAAUACCGGAUAGGAGCUCCUGCUGCAUGGUGGGGGUUGGAAAGUUUCGGCGGUUGGGGAUGGACUCGCGGCUUAUCAGCUUGUUGGUGGGGUAGUGGCUUACCAAGGCUUUGACGGGUAGCCGGCCUGAGAGGGUGACCGGCCACAUUGGGACUGAGAUACGGCCCAGACUUCUACGGGAGGCAGCAGUGGGGAAUACUGCACAAUGGGCGGAAGCCUGAUGCAGCAACGCCGCGUGCGGGAUGACGGCCUUCGGGUUGUAAACCGCUUUCGCCUGUGACGAAGCGUGAGUGACGGUAAUGGGUAAAGAAGCACCGGCUAACUACGUG